Non-coding RNA from Pelobates cultripes (western spadefoot toad), 227 nucleotides. The record is from the annotation of a GenBank genome assembly. NCBI's taxonomy places the organism in Eukaryota, Metazoa, Chordata, Amphibia, Anura, Pelobatidae.
AAUUACUCUAAUCAGCCACACAAUUAAAACCACCGACAGUUGAGGUGAACAGUUAAUUCUUGAAUUUCAUGUGGUGGAAGCAGAAAAAAUGGGCAAGCGAAAAGUGACUUUGACAAAGCCCAAGUAGUGGCUAGACAACUGGGGUCAGAGCAUCUCCAAAAUGGAAAAUCUUAUAGCACGUUCCUGGUAUACGGUGGUUGGUACAUACCAAACGUGGUACAAGGAAG